CUCGUAGGCGGCCAACUAAGUCGGAUGUGAAAUCCCCAGGCUUAACUUGGGAAUGGCAUCCGAUACUGGAUGGCUUGAAUCCGGGAGAGGGAUGCGGAAUUCCAGGUGUAGCGGUGAAAUGCGUAGAUAUCUGGAGGAACACCGGUGGCGAAGGCGGCAUCCUGGACCGGCAUUGACGCUGAGGAGCGAAAGCCAGGGGAGCAAACG
This 207-nucleotide ribosomal RNA is filed under the name uncultured bacterium. RNAcentral's name for it is "partial 16S ribosomal RNA". It matches the Rfam family "Bacterial small subunit ribosomal RNA", at positions 568 to 774 of the family's 1533-position model. The record is from RNAcentral.